RNAcentral lists this ribosomal RNA (184 nucleotides) under Drosophila equinoxialis. Its description in RNAcentral is "partial 16S ribosomal RNA". The record is from RNAcentral. Lineage: Eukaryota; Metazoa; Arthropoda; Insecta; Diptera; Drosophilidae.
UUAGAUUUUAUUUAUUAAUAAUUUAUAUUUUUUUAUAAAGUAUUAAAAAUAAUUAUAAAAUAUAAAGUUUUAGUAUUGUUUAAAGAAAAAAUAAUUUUAAUAAUAGUUUAAUAGUAUUGUAAAAGAAAAUUGAAAUAAUUUGAAAAAAUUUUAUUAUAAAAGAAAAUUUAAUUUAUUGUACCUU